Molecule: ribosomal RNA, 497 nt
Filed under: uncultured bacterium
Lineage: Bacteria
Description: partial 16S ribosomal RNA
Rfam family: Bacterial small subunit ribosomal RNA
Source: RNAcentral
GACGAACGCUGGCGGCGUGCCUAAUACAUGCAAGUUGAGCGCUGAAGGUUGGUACUUGUACCAACUGGAUGAGCAGCGAACGGGUGAGUAACGCGUGGGGAAUCUGCCUUUGAGCGGGGGACAACAUUUGGAAACGAAUGCUAACACCGCAUAAAAACUUUAAACACAAGUUUUAAGUUUGAAAGAUGCAAUUGCAUCACUCAAAGAUGAUCCCGCGUUGUAUUAGCUAGUUGGUGAGGUAAAGGCUCACCAAGGCGAUGAUACAUAGCCGACCUGAGAGGGUGAUCGGCCACAUUGGGACUGAGACACGGCCCAAACUCCUACGGGAGGCAGCAGUAGGGAAUCUUCGGCAAUGGACGAAAGUCUGACCGAGCAACGCCGCGUGAGUGAAGAAGGUUUUCGGAUCGUAAAACUCUGUUGGUGGAGAAGAACGUUGGUGAGAGUGGAAAGCUCAUCAAGUGACGGUAACUACCCAGAAAGGGACGGCUAACUACGUG